Long non-coding RNA from Phocoena sinus (vaquita), 2524 nucleotides. NCBI's taxonomy places the organism in Eukaryota, Metazoa, Chordata, Mammalia, Artiodactyla, Phocoenidae. The record is from Ensembl.
GGGAUGAGGGGGGAGUGGGGGAGGGAUUGGGGAAGAUAAAUAGACAUAUAACAAUCACUUCUUGAAGAAGUAUAAUUGUAAAUAAGCCAUGUAAAAUGCCUUUUUUAAAUUUAAUUUUCUAGCUGGCUCCAAUUCAAACCGAGGGUUUAUAAAUUAGAUCCCGUAUUUGUUUGGCAGAUGCAGGAACUCAGCUCAAGUGGAAUAACAUCGUCUCCCAAAUUGCUGUCACUCUGGAAGGGAGUGGUUAUAGGGCAUGUCACAAGAGAGCAAAACAGUCCAAUCUUUAUCACCGGUAGCUAACUUCUUGUGCCCCCACCCCUGUCCCCUUUUCCAAAAGUCUUGCUCCCGACUUUGGCUCUGGAGUCUCUGCCCUGCUGGGCACGUCCACUCUCAUCCCAGUCUUGUGCUGAACACGAAGCUGCUGUGUUAGAACACUGCUCUCCCACUUGAAGCAAACCCGUCAGGUGGGCCCACUGUGCACACACCCCUGGAUCUCUGGACUUCCUGUCUUGUCCUUCCAUCAUGGUAAAGAGAGAGCGUGGGUGUUGGUUUUCCCUACUUCCGUCUCUCUCUCUUUCUCUCUCUCUCUCCUUCUUUCGCUUGCUCUUAUGGAACUUGGCCACAGUUUCUGAAGUCUGUGCCUAAAUUACCAACCAGCUUCAGCGAUUCCUUUGAAUAUUUCCCAUUUUGGUUUCUGGAAAGCUUUGUCAUUAACACUAUUAACUAGGACAUAGAAUAAUGAGCAACUGAAUUAUGAAGAAUUCAGCCAGGGAGCAGGUGACACUCGUGUGCUAUGGGUCAGCUGGGAUCCAGGUUAGACCAAAUCCAAGCUUUGGGAUUAGACUAACAAAGCUGCCGGACGGCCGCAGGAGCCCAAGUGCUCCAUUCACACCCCCAUGUGCUUUCUGAAGUCAGAUUCUCAAUCACAUUUGAAGUUGUGCCUUUGUGUUUUUGCCUGAGCCGAGUCCCUCACCUCAUAGUCCCCUUUGGCUUCUGCAGAAUUCUGAAAAAUGCCAGGUUUUUCCCCUCCUUUUCCAUAAAACAUAUUUAUAUAUCAUUAUUAGGAGUACUUUCUGAAGAGUACUUCAUGUUUUUUUUUUAAUUGCCUUGUUUGCCUUCAACUUCCUUAAUUUUCAUGGUUUACAUGGAUGUGUGUAGAGGCUAUAUUUGUUUAUAUACACAUGGGUUGGGGGUUUCUUCCAUUGCAUGUGUUGGUUCCAUGGACGUAUGAUCCCCACAGGCUGUGGGAGUGAUUGGCCAGGCCUUGUUUUUUUGUUGUGUUUUUGUUCCUUCGAAGAGGAGAAUGCUAUUUAGAAAAUAAACUGCAUUGCAAAGCUCUUACCAGCUCAUAUGAGAGAGCAGACUCCUGCCCUUGAACACGCUGGUAAGUUGUAUCAUAAUGUUUUAAAAGUUUUUUUUUUUGUUUUUUUUUUUUUGAGUAUUUCUUGCUUUAAAAGACCUUCACGAGGAACAUGACACACAGAAGUUCUUUGGGCUUUCCUUUGAUGUAUGGUGCAUAUAGCAAUAAAGAUUUUUUUCCCCCCUUCCUUUGAGCACUCCCAGGCCUCUGGGCUAGCCUGGCCUCUUCUCUCUCUGAGGGCUGUGAGCUGCUUUCAGUGUGACAAAAUUAUGAUGUCAUUUGGAAGAAUUUGCCAGGACAGACUGAUUCUUGGUCAAGAAUGGCUCGUGUACACUCGGCAGCGUUGUAAAAUGAUAUUGUUUGAAGGCUUUCAUUAACACAUUUACCAUCAAGAACAAAGUGUUGGCAAAAGGCUGACACCUGAUUUGAAAAAGAAAAUGCUGAUUUGAGGACAAAAGGAAAAGUCUCUUUCCACUGCUCAAAGUAGGGUCAUUUAAAUCAUCUUGCAGUCACGUGUGAGUUUGUUUUAUUCAUGUGGAAUCUCUUGCUGUGCACUGGAAGUCAUUUAUCCACCAAGCUGAGUACCGUGUGGGGAAAGGUAGAAGCUGAAAACACAGCCAGGCCUGUGUGCUGUUAACUGUGCAAUUCUCACGUUAAGAAAAAAAGAACAAUAAGAACCAAAUGUGACCUUGCAUAUAUUUUGACAGCUGAAAUUCUUUAAGGCUACCAACGAAUGACCCCUUAAAUCAGUCUUGUCUUUUGAUUGCUGCGUAUAGGAAGAAGUUUUCCUUUCACGCUGUUUUGUUUUGGGGGGGUUAUCAGCAAAACUAUUCAUUCUGACAUUACAGGGCCUCUUGUGAGAGCCUCUCUACCACAGACAUUAAGAGCUAAGCAGCAGCAUACGUACUGAUUGUAUCCACUCACCAAUGACCAUUACAUUGAACGUAGCUCGCUUACUUCCAUCACUACGAGUUUUUUGAGCUUGCUCUUAUGUUUUAAGAGGUGCCAGGGGUACAUUUUUGCACUGAAAUCUAAAGAUGUUUUAAAAAACACUUUUCACAGAAAAUAGUCCUUUGUCAUUACAUUAUUUACUCAUGUGUUUGUACAUUUUUGUAUGUUAAUUUAUGAAUGAUUUUUUCAGUAAAAAAUACAUAUUCAAGAACC